GAAAAAAUUUUCCUUUACAAUUUUCCUUUCCCCUUAUUUUCCUCCAAUCGAAACGUAGAAUUAAUUUCCCCGCCACAGCUAAGAUCCAAACAGAGGGUCAGUUAAAAUACGAAAACCUUUCUUCAUCCCUUCCGGCCAUACGGCAAGCGCGUGCAAAACGAAGAAAAUGGCAAAACGACUCGGCUCGCAGCUCUUCGUUAGCAGGUUAUCGAACUACACCACAAAUCAAAAAUUGGAAAAGUUGUUUUCACCAUUUGGAGUUGUUAAAGAAGCUCGGCUUGUUCUAGACCCAAGAACUCAAAAACCUAAAGGGUUUGGUUUCGUUACCUUUGAUUCUGAGAGCCAGGCACAAAAGGCCUUGAAAGCCAUGGAUGGAAGG
Molecule: unclassified non-coding RNA, 379 nt
Filed under: Hevea brasiliensis (rubber tree)
Lineage: Eukaryota; Viridiplantae; Streptophyta; Magnoliopsida; Malpighiales; Euphorbiaceae
Source: RNAcentral